CAAAUUAGAGCUUGAGUAAGUAUCUCAUUUACAUUGAGAAGAAAUUAAAAUUUAAUUAAUUUGA
RNAcentral lists this transfer RNA (64 nucleotides) under Sephisa chandra (eastern courtier). RNAcentral describes it as "tRNA-Val". Lineage: Eukaryota; Metazoa; Arthropoda; Insecta; Lepidoptera; Nymphalidae. The record is from RNAcentral.